RNAcentral lists this ribosomal RNA (459 nucleotides) under uncultured bacterium. RNAcentral's name for it is "partial 16S ribosomal RNA". It matches the Rfam family "Bacterial small subunit ribosomal RNA", at positions 338 to 795 of the family's 1533-position model. The record is from RNAcentral.
CCUACGGGUGGCAGCAGUGAGGAAUAUUGGUCAAUGGUCGGGAGACUGAACCAGCCAAGCCGCGUGAGGGAUGAAGGUACAGAGUAUCGUAAACCUCUUUUGUCAGGGAACAAAGGCGGGGACGCGUCCCCGGAUGAGUGUACCUGGAGAAAAAGCAUCGGCUAACUCCGUGCCAGCAGCCGCGGGAAUACGGAGGAUGCGAGCGUUAUCCGGAUUUAUUGGGGUUAAAGGGUGAGCAGGCGGGCUGUUAAGUCAGCGGUAAAAGCCCGGGGCGCAACCCCGGCCCGCCGUUGAAACUGGCAGCCUCGAGUUGGAGAGAAGUAUGCGGAAUGCGCGGUGUAGCGGUGAAAUGCAUAGAUAUCGCGCAGAACGCCGAUUGCGAAGGCAGCAUGCCGGCUCCACACUGACGCUGAGGCACGAAAGCGUGGGUAUCGAACAGGAUUAGAUACCCGAGUAGUC